UGUGGGAUUGCUGGAUCAUAGGGUAAAUAUAUGUAUUUAUCUUCAUGUAUAACUGGAAAACUGUUUUCCAGAGCAGCUGUACCAUUUUAUAUUCUACAAGCAAU
This 104-nucleotide microRNA precursor is filed under the name Marmota monax (woodchuck). The record is from RNAcentral. Lineage: Eukaryota; Metazoa; Chordata; Mammalia; Rodentia; Sciuridae.